Molecule: ribosomal RNA, 502 nt
Filed under: uncultured bacterium
Lineage: Bacteria
Description: partial 16S ribosomal RNA
Rfam family: Bacterial small subunit ribosomal RNA
Source: RNAcentral
AUUGAACGCUGGCGGAAUGCUUUACACAUGCAAGUCGAACGGCAGCAUAGGUGCUUGCACCUGAUGGCGAGUGGCGAACGGGUGAGUAAUACAUCGGAACGUGCCCAGUCGUGGGGGAUAACGUAGCGAAAGUUACGCUAAUACCGCAUACGAUCUAAGGAUGAAAGCGGGGGACCGUAAGGCCUCGCGCGAUUGGAGCGGCCGAUGUCAGAUUAGGUAGUUGGGGAGGUAAAGGCUCACCAAGCCGACGAUCUGUAGCUGGUCUGAGAGGACGACCAGCCACACGGGGACUGAGACACGGCCCAGACUCCUACGGGAGGCAGCAGUGGGGAAUUUUGGACAAUGGACGCAAGUCUGAUCCAGCCAUUCCGCGUGCAGGACGAAGGCCUUCGGGUUGUAAACUGCUUUUGUACGGAACGAAAAAGCUCUUACUAAUACUAGGAGUCCAUGACGGUACCGUAAGAAUAAGCACCGGCUAACUACGUGCCAGCCGCCGCCGUAA